GUUGUAUGGUUAAGUGACUAAGCGUACACGGUGGAUGCCUUGGCAGUCAGAGGCGAUGAAAGACGUAGUAACUUGCGAUAAGCCCAGAUUAGGUAGUAACAACCAUUUGAGUCUGGGAUUUCUGAAUGGGGAAACCCACGUGCAUAAGCACGUAUCCUUACCUGAAUACAUAGGGUAAG
Molecule: ribosomal RNA, 179 nt
Filed under: Vibrio parahaemolyticus
Lineage: Bacteria; Pseudomonadati; Pseudomonadota; Gammaproteobacteria; Vibrionales; Vibrionaceae
Description: partial 23S ribosomal RNA
Rfam family: Bacterial large subunit ribosomal RNA
Source: RNAcentral